AUCUUUUUAGUAUAAUUAUUAUAUUUGACUUCCAAUCAAAAGACCUUGAAAAUUAAUCAAGAAAAGAUA
RNAcentral lists this transfer RNA (69 nucleotides) under Lygaeus sp. PJ-2017. RNAcentral's name for it is "tRNA-Gly". RNAcentral also lists the same sequence under 1 other name. Lineage: Eukaryota; Metazoa; Arthropoda; Insecta; Hemiptera; Lygaeidae. The record is from RNAcentral.